ACGGGAGGCAGCAGUGGGGAAUAUUGGACAAUGGGCGAAAGCCUGAUCCAGCCAUGCCGCGUGAGUGAUGAAGGCCCUAGGGUUGUAAAGCUCUUUUGUCCGGGAAGAUAAUGACUGUACCGGAAGAAUAAGCCCCGGCUAACUUCGUGCCAGCAGCCGCGGUAAUACGAAGGGGGCUAGCGUUGCUCGGAAUCACUGGGCGUAAAGGGCGCGUAGGCGGCCAUUCAAGUCGGGGGUGAAAGCCCAGGGCUCAACCCUGGAAUUGCCUUCGAUACUGUUUGGCUAGAGACCGGAAGAGGUUAGUGGAACUGCGAGUGUAGAGGUGAAAUUCGUAGAUAUUCGCAAGAACACCAGUGGCGAAGGCGGCUAACUGGUCCGGUUCUGACGCUGAGGCGCGAAAGCGUGGGGAGCAAACAGGAUUAGAUACCCUGGUA
This 434-nucleotide ribosomal RNA is filed under the name uncultured Hyphomicrobiales bacterium. RNAcentral describes it as "bacterial SSU rRNA". It matches the Rfam family "Bacterial small subunit ribosomal RNA", at positions 341 to 792 of the family's 1533-position model. The record is from RNAcentral. Lineage: Bacteria; Pseudomonadati; Pseudomonadota; Alphaproteobacteria; Hyphomicrobiales.